RNAcentral lists this ribosomal RNA (468 nucleotides) under uncultured bacterium. RNAcentral's name for it is "partial 16S ribosomal RNA". It matches the Rfam family "Bacterial small subunit ribosomal RNA", at positions 28 to 507 of the family's 1533-position model. The record is from RNAcentral.
GACGAACGCUGGCGGCGUGCUUAACACAUGCAAGUCGAACGGAAAGGCCCUGCUUUUGUGGGGUGCUCGAGUGGCGAACGGGUGAGUAACACGUGAGUAACCUGCCCUUGACUUUGGUAUAACUUCAGGUAACUGGGGCUAAUACCGGAUAGGAGCUCCUGCUGCAUGGUGGGGGGUGGAAAGUUUCGGCUGUUGGGGAUGGACUCGCGGCUUAUCAGCUUGUUGGUGGGGUAGUGGCUUACCAAGGCUUUGACGGGUAGCCGGCCUGAGAGGGUGACCGGCCACAUUGGGACUGAGAUACGGACCAGACUCCUACGGGAGGCAGUAGUGGGGAAUAUUGCACAAUGGGCGGAAGCCUGAUGCAGAAACGCCGCGUGCGGGAUGACGGCCUUCGGGUUGUAAACCGCUUUCGCCUGUGACGAAGCGGGAGUGACGGUACUGGGUAAAGAAGCACCGGCUAACUACGUG